CGCUUUCGGCCAGCUCGGCAGGAGGAGUGGGCCGCCCCCUGCUCCGGUCCCGGGCCGGGCCGCCGGCUCCGCUCCCCGGCAGAGGCGCCGCCCGCGCUCUCCUCGCCCCGCGCCGAGCGGGACCCGCCGCGUUCGCGAACAGCGCGGGCGCCGCCUCCCGCGGAGGGAGCCGGGCAGCGGGGCCGGCAGGCGGCGCCCCCGGGCUCGGACCGCAGCUGCCAUGGGCCCCAGUGGGAGGGCGCGCGGUGCGGGGGGGGCACCCGCUGCCUCAGGGCAUCUCCCGGACUCCUGGAAUGGUUUGGGUCAGGAGCAACCAUCCAGUUCUAAGCUCCCCACCGUGGGAGGCAGCGUUAGGGACACCUACAUGGAUCACGUUGCUCAAAGCCGCAUCCAGCCUGGCCUUGAGCUCCUCCAGGGCUGGGGCAUCCAUGACUUCUCUGAGCAACCCGUGCUAGUACCUCACCACCCUCCCGGGAAAGAAUUUCCUCCUUAUCUCUAUAAUCCAAAUCUCCCCUCUUUCAUCUUCAAACUGUUCCCCCUUGUCCUAUCCCUGUGCUCCCUGCUAAAGAGUCCCUUCCCAUCUUCCCCGUAGCCCUUUCAGGUACUGGAAGGUCGCUCUACCAUUUCCUUGGAGAGAUAAUGAUUACCAAUGUUUAGCCUUCUAUGACAAAGUGACUCAACUACUGGAUGAGGGAAAGGCUGUGGCUGUAGUCUUCUUGGACUUCCUUAAAGCCUUUGACAUAGUUUCUCACAGCAUUCUGCUUCAGAAACUGUCAACCUCUGGCCUGGACAGGUGCACACUCUCCUGGGUUGAAAACUGGUUGGAUGGCCGGGCCCAGAGAGUGGUGGUCAAUGGAGCUGGAGGCCAGUCACAAGUGGGGUUCCCCAGGGCUCAGUACUGGGUCCAGUCCUGUUCAAUGUCUUUAUUGAUGACCUGGAUGAAGGCCAGGUACACCCCUAGCAAGUUUGCAGAUGACACUAAGCUGGGUGGAAGUGUGGAUCUGCUGGAGGGUAGGGAGGCUCUGCAAAGGGAUUGGAAGGGGCUGGACUGCUGGGCUGAGGCCAAUGGCAUGAGGUUCAACAAGGCCAAAUGUCGGGUCCUGCACUUGGGGCAUAACAACCCUAUGCAGUGCUACAGACUAGGAGAAGUGUGGCUAGAAAGCUUCCUAGAGGAGAAGGACCUGGGGGUGCUGGUUGACAGCCGACUGAACAUGAGCCAGCAGUGUGCCCAGGUGGCCAAGAAGGCCAAUGGCAUCUUGGCUUGGAUCAGAAACGGUGUGACCAGCAGGUCCAGGGAGGUGAUUCUCCCUCUGUACUCAGCACUGGUCAGACCGCACCUUGAGUACUGUGUUCAGUUCUGGGCCCCUCACCACAAGAAGGUUGUUGAGGCUCUGGAGCAUGUCCAGAGAAGAGCAACGAAGCUGGUGAGGGGGCUGGAGAACAAGUCUUAUGAGAAGUGGCUGAGGGAGCUGGGGUUGUUUAGCCUGGAGAAGAGGAGGCUGAGGGGAGACUUUAUUGCUCUCUACAACGACCUGAAAGGAGAUUGUGGAGGGGUGGGAGCUGGCUUCUUCUCCCAAGUGACAGGGUACAGGACAAGAGGGGACAGCCUCAAGCUCCACCAGGGGAGGUUCAGGCUGGACAUCAGGAAAAAAUUUUUUGUGGAAAGAGUCAUUGGGCACUGGUACAGGCUGCCCAAGGAGGUGGUUGAGUCAUCUUCCCUGGAGGUGUUUAAGGGACAGGUGGAUGAGGUGCUGAGGGGCAUGGUUUAGGGAUUGCUAGGAAUGGUUGAACUCGAUGAUCCAGUGGGUCCUUUCCGCCCUAGUGAUUCUAUGAUUCUGUGGUCAAAAGUCAGAGCAGACUUGAAAAAACAAAUAUCCUUUGCUGAGCCUUCCUGCGCAUGGUCUUUGUGCAUCCUUUUGAAAACAAGUCGUACAGUUUUAUACUGGCACACUGUGUGUUCCAACUGUGUCGACGGCGAGGGAAGCAAGCGGACAACUCAGUGUGAGUGAUAAAGCAAGCUUCAACUUUAUUCAAAAUCAGCCUGGAUUAUAUACCCUAACAUUCAAAAGAUGCUUUGUGCUUUAUAAUUUGUUACACCUUAUACAUGAUUAGUUACUUAAAACUAUUUGUUCUCUAUUGAUUCAUUGUCCUUUGUUAAUUCAUUAAUACUAUGUUGCUACUUCGAGUUCCGUUUAUCUACUUGCAGUUAUAUUACAGUUGCAGCUGGGCUUGGUGCUCCAUCCUGUUCCCUUGGGAAAGAUUCACUUGUCCUUCAGAAGUUUCUUCUUAGAGAUUCCUCCUUGUAUGCCUUCUUGUUCUUUCAGUCCAUAUCUUCACUCAAAGUUUAACAAGGUUUCCACUUACACAAUACGUGUCUCACAAAGCUUUUCUGUUAAAUCAUGUCCUUGUUCACUUAACCAUUCCUCGAUCCAUUUUUCAACAUUCUCAUGUCCUUUUUCACUUAACCAUUUCCCAACACAACUGGAUACAUCUGCAAAGAUCCUGUGUACAUUAAAUUCGUGAAAAGGAAGCAGCUUUUACAAAAAAAGGUUUGGAAUGCUGUAAGGAAAGGUUCAGUUUAGAUCUCACGAGUGGAGUUCUUCCCUGGAGAAGACAAAAUAUCAAUAUUAAAUUAGUGAGCUGUCAGACGGUAGAAGACUUAUAUGACAAUGUUGACCAAGAGGAUAACACUAAUGAAGAUUUGUUCUGAUGUCUGUGUCUUCUAAGCAGUGAAUGCUGUGACAUCUCCUUACACCAGCAUCUUGAUCUUUUCUUGGCUGGUGAAUACAUACGGUCGGGAAAAAACAUCUAUUUAUUUGGGCGUUUGAGCUUAAUCGCUGGUACGAUGCUGAAAUGCCAGAUUCAAUAAGAUGGAGUGUGCUUGCUGAGCUCUGGAGUCAUCCAUGUGACUUGCACCGGUUUCCAGAAGGAGG
Molecule: long non-coding RNA, 2933 nt
Organism: Cuculus canorus (common cuckoo)
Lineage: Eukaryota; Metazoa; Chordata; Aves; Cuculiformes; Cuculidae
Exons: 4
Source: RefSeq, a predicted model, not a curated record